RNAcentral lists this ribosomal RNA (797 nucleotides) under uncultured organism. RNAcentral's name for it is "SSU rRNA". It matches the Rfam family "Bacterial small subunit ribosomal RNA", at positions 664 to 1473 of the family's 1533-position model. The record is from RNAcentral.
GAAUUCGUGGUGUAGCGGUGAAAUGCUUAGAUAUCACGAAGAACUCCGAUUGCGAAGGCAGCUCACUGGACUGCAACUGACACUGAUGCUCGAAAGUGUGGGUAUCAAACAGGAUUAGAUACCCUGGUAGUCCACACAGUAAACGAUGAAUACUCGCUGUUUGCGAUAUACAGUAAGCGGCCAAGCGAAAGCAUUAAGUAUUCCACCUGGGGAGUACGCCGGCAACGGUGAAACUCAAAGGAAUUGACGGGGGCCCGCACAAGCGGAGGAACAUGUGGUUUAAUUCGAUGAUACGCGAGGAACCUUACCCGGGCUUAAAUUGCAGUGGAAUGAUGUGGAAACAUGUCAGUGAGCAAUCACCACUGUGAAGGUGCUGCAUGGUUGUCGUCAGCUCGUGCCGUGAGGUGUCGGCUUAAGUGCCAUAACGAGCGCAACCCUUAUCUUUAGUUACUAACAGGUUAUGCUGAGGACUCUAGAGAGACUGCCGUCGUAAGAUGUGAGGAAGGUGGGGAUGACGUCAAAUCAGCACGGCCCUUACGUCCGGGGCUACACACGUGUUACAAUGGGGGGUACAGAAGGCAGCUAGCGGGUGACCGUAUGCUAAUCCCAAAAGCCUCUCUCAGUUCGGAUCGAAGUCUGCAACCCGACUUCGUGAAGCUGGAUUCGCUAGUAAUCGCGCAUCAGCCACGGCGCGGUGAAUACGUUCCCGGGCCUUGUACACACCGCCCGUCAAGCCAUGGGAGCCGGGGGUACCUGAAGUACGUAACCGCAAGGAUCGUCCUAGGGUAAAACUGGUG